GGAGAGAUGCCCGAGAAGGCUGAAGGGGCUCGCCUGCUAAGCGAGUGUAGGGCCCAAAAGCCCUACCCCGGGUUCGAAUCCCGGUCUCUCCGCCA
Molecule: transfer RNA, 95 nt
Filed under: Deltaproteobacteria bacterium
Lineage: Bacteria; Pseudomonadati; Myxococcota; Myxococcia
Description: tRNA-Ser
Rfam family: tRNA
About the family: Transfer RNA (tRNA) molecules are approximately 80 nucleotides in length.
Source: RNAcentral